GGCAGCCGCAGAGCCGGGAACCACGAGACCCUGCAUGGCCGCCCUCUGCCCACUUGGCCCGGGGAUGCUACUGCACCGGGCAGAGUGCCAAGCGGUCAGUGCUUGUGGCAGAAGGACGGAAGAUGGCGUUAUGAGAAGUCGCAUGUUUCCUCUGCCGGCGGACUCCAAUCCUUUAUCCACGCAUACCUCGUGUCUCAGGUCAUGUGACGUAAAGGCAACGCAGCAGCACCGACUCCAGUACUGGGAUGCUGAUGUUCAACGUGCAAGCACUGCGGCAGAAGGUCCAGGGUCCCAGGUCCCAGCCUGUUUCAUAUUCAGUCCACAAACACUGGUUAAGGGCUCAUCCUAAAUCAGGUACUGUGGAAGAGCUAUCAAGACGAAAGUGGUGAGGAGCUGAACGUGCUAAAGCCAGGGACGGAUGUGUGUUUGGUGGCGUGGUUCCUGUCAUCUGCGUGAACUUCGGAGUCCUUGGGUUCAAACACUAGUUCUUUUGACUUUCUGUGGAUACCUGAUCAAGAUAACUUUCUG
RNAcentral lists this long non-coding RNA (528 nucleotides) under Capra hircus (goat). Its description in RNAcentral is "lncRNA (ENSCHIG00000001161.1)". The record is from RNAcentral. Lineage: Eukaryota; Metazoa; Chordata; Mammalia; Artiodactyla; Bovidae.